GUGGGGAUGACGUCAAGUCCUCAUGGCCCUUAUAGGUGGGGCUACACACGUCAUACAAUGGCUGGUACAAAGGGUUGCCAACCCGCGAGGGGGAGCUAAUCCCAUAAAACCAGUCGUAGUCCGGAUCGCAGUCUGCAACUCGACUGCGUGAAGUCGGAAUCGCUAGUAAUCGUGGAUCAGAAUGUCACGGUGAAUACGUUCCCGGGUCUUGUACACACCGCCCGUCACACCAUGGGAGCGGGUCUCGCCAGAAGUAGUUAGCCUAACCGCAAGGAGGGCGAUUACCACGGCGGGGUUCGUGACUGGGGUGAAGUCGUAACAAGGUAGCCGUAUCGGAAGGUGCGGCUGGAUCACCUCCUUUCUG
RNAcentral lists this ribosomal RNA (364 nucleotides) under Burkholderiaceae bacterium. Its description in RNAcentral is "bacterial SSU rRNA". It matches the Rfam family "Bacterial small subunit ribosomal RNA", at positions 1173 to 1533 of the family's 1533-position model. Lineage: Bacteria; Pseudomonadati; Pseudomonadota; Betaproteobacteria; Burkholderiales; Burkholderiaceae. The record is from RNAcentral.